AGUGAACGCUGGCGGUAGGCCUAACACAUGCAAGUCGAACGGCAGCACAGUAAGAGCUUGCUCUUACGGGUGGCGAGUGGCGGACGGGUGAGGAAUACAUCGGAAUCUACUUUUUCGUGGGGGAUAACGUAGGGAAACUUACGCUAAUACCGCAUACGACCUACGGGUGAAAGCAGGGGAUCUUCGGACCUUGCGCGAUUGAAUGAGCCGCUGUCGGAUUAGCUAGUUGGCGGGGUAAAGGCCCACCCAGGCGACGAUCCGUUGCUGGUCUGAGAGGCGGAUCAGCCACACUGGAGCUGAGCCACGGACCAGGCGCCUACGGGAGGCAGCAGUGGGGAAUAUUGGACAAUGGGCGCGAGCCUGAUCCAGCCGUACCGCGUGGGUGAAAGAGGCCUUCGGGUUGUAAAGCCCGUUUGUUGGGAGAGAAAAGCAGCAGGUUAAUACCCCGCUGUUCUGACGGUACCCAAAGAAUAAGCACCGGCUAACUUCGUG
RNAcentral lists this ribosomal RNA (492 nucleotides) under uncultured bacterium. RNAcentral's name for it is "partial 16S ribosomal RNA". It matches the Rfam family "Bacterial small subunit ribosomal RNA", at positions 29 to 507 of the family's 1533-position model. The record is from RNAcentral.